GGUAGGUCCAGAUCACUGUAUCACAAACCCUAACCCUAAUGUACAGACUGAGGUAGGUCCAGAUCACUGUAUCACAAACCCUAACCCUAAUGUAAAGACUGAGGUAGGUCCAGAUCACUGUAUCACUAACCCUAAUGUACAGACUGAGGUAGGUCCAGAUCACUGUAUCACUAACCCUAAUGUACAGACUGAGCUAACUAACUUCAACUCUAAUUUCAACACUAACCCUAACUUCAACCUUAACUACAAAAUUAAGUGUUUAUUAUCAAUGAUGUAGCAUGUUGUGUUUGUUAUGAAAUGUAGCAUGUGGUGUUUGUUAUCAAUGAUGUAGCAUUAUGUGUUAUGAAUGAUGUAGAACGUUGUGUAUGUUAUGAAUUAUUUAGCAUGUUGUGUUUGUUGUGAAUGAUAUAGCAUGUUGUGUUAUGAACGAUGUAGCAUGUUGUGUUUGUUGUGAAUGAUAUAGCAUGUUGUGUUAUGAAUGAUGUAGUAUGUUGUUUGUUAUGAAUGAUGUAGCAUGUUGUGUUUGUUAUGAAUGAUCAUGUUGUGUUUGUUAUGAAUGAUGUAGUAUGUUGUUUGUUAUGAAUGAUGUAG
Oncorhynchus tshawytscha (Chinook salmon) is the source of this 591-nucleotide long non-coding RNA. The record is from Ensembl. NCBI's taxonomy places the organism in Eukaryota, Metazoa, Chordata, Actinopteri, Salmoniformes, Salmonidae.